Long non-coding RNA from Juglans regia (Persian walnut), 665 nucleotides. RefSeq lists it as uncharacterized. The record is from RefSeq and is a predicted model, not a curated record. NCBI's taxonomy places the organism in Eukaryota, Viridiplantae, Streptophyta, Magnoliopsida, Fagales, Juglandaceae. The transcript is spliced from 3 exons.
GCAAGCUGCUUGACAAUGAUAGCUAAUGAUCAUAUCAAAGGCCAUUUCAUUUCGUAUCCAACUUGGGUUCAAGGAUAAGUAUGGGAAUGAAUGUCAAAUUGAGUCCAAUGAUGUGGGUCCUAUUAUUUGAUUGUCCAACUUAUAUAGUUUGGCGUACGUGUCCAUGUCGUGUUUGGUGAAGUGUCUUGAAAUCGAUCGAGGAAGAAUUGGUACGUAAGUGUGUGGGUCAACAUGACUCAAGGCAGAGAUGCAUGCCUUCGGCUGGGAUUCCUGGCUUGCACGCCACGGGAGCUCUUGCUGUCUGUCGUGGUUUACAAUUUGGCAACGAAGUUUUGAGCUGCUUACUUCUGAUUUGCAUUACAUAUUUUGAAAGCAAAUUCAAACUUUUGGAAAUUUUAAGGGUUCGAGGAAGAUUUUUUUGCCAAUGUCAGGAAACUUGCACCUGGUCAUGAUCAUGUGUCGAGAACAGGUUCUUGCACGCCGUUUGGAUUUGGAAACUAAUCCUUUUGGACAUGGGAUCUUAAAGGUGUGGAUGACCCAACAAUUCCGACUUCAAUAUUUCAAAUGUCAUUCCACUUGUUUCAGCAUUUAGCAUUUGCUGUUGCUUUAUUUUGGAGCUUUGUAGGGGCACGUGUCGAUCAAAUAUCUGUCCUCUAAUCAUAGGG